This 788-nucleotide ribosomal RNA is filed under the name uncultured bacterium. Its description in RNAcentral is "bacterial SSU rRNA". It matches the Rfam family "Bacterial small subunit ribosomal RNA", at positions 61 to 846 of the family's 1533-position model. The record is from RNAcentral.
GUCGAGCGGCAGCGCGGGGGCAACCUGGCGGCGAGCGGCGGACGGGUGAGGAAUACAUCGGAAUCUACCCAGUCGUGGGGGAUAACGUAGGGAAACUUACGCUAAUACCGCAUACGACCUGAGGGUGAAAGCAGGGGACCGCAAGGCCUUGCGCGAUUGGAUGAGCCGAUGUCCGAUUAGCUAGUUGGUGAGGUAAAGGCUCACCAAGGCGACGAUCGGUAGCUGGUCUGAGAGGAUGAUCAGCCACACUGGAACUGAGACACGGUCCAGACUCCUACGGGAGGCAGCAGUGGGGAAUAUUGGACAAUGGGCGCAAGCCUGAUCCAGCCAUGCCGCGUGUGUGAAGAAGGCCUUCGGGUUGUAAAGCACUUUUGUCCGGGAAGAAAAGCUCCGGGUUAAUACCCUGGGGUUCUGACGGUACCGGAAGAAUAAGCACCGGCUAACUUCGUGCCAGCAGCCGCGGUAAUACGAAGGGUGCAAGCGUUACUCGGAAUUACUGGGCGUAAAGCGUGCGUAGGUGGUUCGUUAAGUCUGCCGUGAAAGCCCGGGGCUCAACCUGGGAAUGGCGGUGGAUACUGGCGGACUAGAGUGCGGUAGAGGGUGGUGGAAUUCCCGGUGUAGCAGUGAAAUGCGUAGAGAUCUGGAGGAACACCGAUGGCGAAGGCAGCCCCCUGGGCUAACACUGACGCUCAUGCACGAAAGCGUGGGGAGCAAACAGGAUUAGAUACCCUGGUAGUCCACGCCCUAAACGAUGUCAACUGGUUGUCGGGGAAGCAAUUCCUUGGUAA